ACCCGCACAAGCAGCGGAGCGUGUGGUUUAAUUCGUUGCUACACGAAGAACCUUACCUGGGUUUGACAUAUAGGUUGUAGGGAACUGAAAAGGACCGACCUUCGGGAGCCUAUACAGGUGCUGCAUGGCUGUCGUCAGCUCGUGUCGUGAGAUGUUGGGUUAAGUCCCGCAACGAGCGCAACCCUUGCCUUUAGUUGCCAGCAGUUCGGCUGGGCACUCUAAAGGGACUGCCGGUGUCAAACCGGAGGAAGGUGGGAUGACGUCAAGUCCUCAUGGCCUCUAUGGCCAGGGCUACACACGUACUACAAUGGCCGGUACAAAGGGCAGCGACAUUGCGAGAUGGAGCGAAUCCCGAAAAGCCGGUCUCAGUCCGGAUUGGAGUCUGCAACUCGACUCCAUGAAGUUGGAAUCGCUAGUAAUCGUGGAUCAGCAUGCCACGGUGAAUACGUUCCCGGGCCUU
This 460-nucleotide ribosomal RNA is filed under the name uncultured Desulfobulbus sp. RNAcentral describes it as "bacterial SSU rRNA". It matches the Rfam family "Bacterial small subunit ribosomal RNA", at positions 919 to 1382 of the family's 1533-position model. The record is from RNAcentral. Lineage: Bacteria; Pseudomonadati; Thermodesulfobacteriota; Desulfobulbia; Desulfobulbales; Desulfobulbaceae.